This is a small nucleolar RNA of Ornithorhynchus anatinus (platypus), 138 nucleotides long. The record is from RefSeq and is a predicted model, not a curated record. NCBI's taxonomy places the organism in Eukaryota, Metazoa, Chordata, Mammalia, Monotremata, Ornithorhynchidae.
CCCCUCUCGGGGUCACACCUGGAGAGUUUCCAGUAUUCUACCAGUCUCGGCUAUGGGAGGGAGAGUUAAGCAGAGGCCUGUCCAUUCCGUUCCUAGCUCGGGGCACGGCUAGAGAGUGGAAAGCAAUCUGCUACAAGU